Non-coding RNA from Podarcis lilfordi (Lilford's wall lizard), 71 nucleotides. The record is from the annotation of a GenBank genome assembly. Lineage: Eukaryota; Metazoa; Chordata; Lepidosauria; Squamata; Lacertidae.
GAUCUGUGGCUCCAUGAUAGAGCAUCUGUUUUGCAUGCAGAAGGUCCUGGGUUCAAACCCUGACAUCUCCA